Molecule: long non-coding RNA, 1336 nt
Filed under: Chrysemys picta bellii (western painted turtle)
Lineage: Eukaryota; Metazoa; Chordata; Testudines; Emydidae
Description: lncRNA (ENSCPBG00000016586.1)
Source: RNAcentral
GGCUCAUGUCCAGCCCCAAAAUAGUUCUUGUGCCAAGUCCAAAAAAAAGAUCACAUGAGAGGGGGGAAAAAGUAAAGCAAAUGAUUUUCCUUAUUUUCUUAGCUUGUCCUACGUGGGUGCUAGUAUAGAGACCUGAGCUUCCAGGGGCUUCACUACCUCAGGGUCCCACCUCAACCUGCUCAGUAAUGGAUGCCAGAUUUUGACUGGGACCCGACAGCAAUCUGGAUUUGUUAGUGAGCUUGGUGAUACUAUUUUCACUUGGAGCCCUUUUUUGGUGAGCUUUUCUGUGUGUCUCUCCCUUCAGGAUCCUCUUGGCCUUCAGUGAAGAAGACCGAUCUGGGAAAGGGCCCCCCCUGUCCCAACACAACACCUAACCGCCCCAUAGGCAGGUCAACAGCAUCGCCUCCUUUAGGGAAACUCUCUUCCUUAACUGUUGCAAGGAACUCCCUUCCUCCCACAGCUCCAGCCCUGUUGCUCCUACUUUUCAACAGUGUGUGCUGACCAGAGCAGAAAACAGCCUGAAAGUGCCUGAGCCUGAGAACCAAGAGCUGCAGGAGCAAGGCAACAGGAAAAUCCUCAGCACAGAGGGAGAACUGCAGCAGCAGCAGAGUGGAACUGCACAGGCGUCAAGCGGAGGUGAAACCUGCAGCAUUGCUGACACUCCUUCUUUCCAGAGCGACAGCAGCAGCGUUUCCUGCCUAAGACGAACACAAGUCCCAGAGCUGCCAGCCACCCCUCUCUCAGGAGCACUGUGCUGCAGGUAAGCUACCACCAUCCCAUGUGAGAAUCAUAGACGAGGCUGCAGGUUGAGGAUGCAUAGUGAUGUGUGUGGGUGUGAAGGGGACAAAGGGAAGAGAUGGAGAACAGUUGCAGUAGAUAAUGCUGUGAUUCCUGUAAGUGCUGCAGGCCCUCAGGAAGAAUAACAUCUGCAAAUCUCCAGUGCUACAGCUAAGUUUAUACAAUGGCAGAGAUUGUGGCCCCCAUCCUCCUCCUCCUCAUACUUCACAUUUUUAUAGCACACAUUCCAUCGCAAAGCCUGACUACAGCCGCCUCUGGAGGGAGGGAGCAGACAGCACACUCUACAGCACUGGGGCUGGGGGGAUUCUAGUCAAGUAUAGAUGAGUAAACCGCUCCAGUGCUUACAACAAACAUCCUGGGACCUUUAAAGGCCACUCAGAUUAGACAGGACCGUGAUCUCAUCUGAACACCACACACCCAGUAAACGGCACGGAAGGCAAUUUAUCUAGCCCAGGAGGAGGGAAAUUGAUCCCAUCAGACUACAAGUAGUUCCUGUGAGUCAGCCUAUUUCAGCACUGAUGCUUAUACCAGGAAGUCA